RNAcentral lists this long non-coding RNA (3485 nucleotides) under Populus trichocarpa (black cottonwood). RNAcentral describes it as "long non-coding RNA (PTRI_LNC002805)". The record is from RNAcentral. Lineage: Eukaryota; Viridiplantae; Streptophyta; Magnoliopsida; Malpighiales; Salicaceae.
AUAUAUUGCAGGGGGCCCGGGCCUGUUGCCCCAUGCUUCCGCCCCCAGUGAUGUGAUGGUGAAGAAUGAUCGGUCAAAGAAAAUAAAAAACGGUAAUAGAGUUCUGCAAUCAAAAUUAAUAGGUGAUAGUUGCAGCAGUGAUUAGUUGUCCUAGGUUGUCCUUAGGUGAUAGUUGCAGCAGUGAUGGUGGUGGUGAAGGAUGAUUGGUUAAAGAAAAUACAAAACGGUAAUAGGUUCUGCAAUCAAAAUUCAAAGGGCUUGUGUUUGAAGGCCGAAGGGUUGCAAUGAUGGUGAUAGUUGCAGGGGUGGUGUAACUAGUUGUUGUUGUUAGGUGGUUGCGGCAGUGAUGGUGGUGGUUGCGGCAUUGAUGAUGAUAGGGAUGGUGGUGACGAAGGAAGAUUGGCUAAAGAAAAGAAAAAUGGUAAUGGGGUUCUGCAAUCAAAGGGCUUGUGUGUGAAGGCCUAAAGUUUUGUUUUAUCUCUACAACCGCGCAAAUGGAAUCAAUCCCUUCAACUGUCCUGUUCAGGGCACAAAUCUUGAUUCGAGAUUUGUUUUGUGGAACGAAACGUGUGGAUUGGUUAGCUUGAUGAAUGCAUUUGGUUUUGGGUGGUAGCUGAAAAUUGUGGUAGUUGAUUUGGCGAUUAUUGGAGCAAGUGGGACGCAUCCAACCCAAUUUCUGAUUUCAUGCUUUCUGCAAAGCUUCAGGAAAAUAAUGUGUAUUGUAUAUUUUUAUGUUUUAAAAAUAUUUUUAAAAAAAUUUAAAUUUUUUUUAUUUUUUUUAUUUUAAAUUAAUAUAUUUUUAAUAUUUUUAUAUCAUUUUGAUACGCUGAUAUUAAAAAUAAUUUUUAAAAAAUAUAUUAUUUUGAUAUAUUUUUAAGUGAAAAGUAGUUUGAAAAGCAACCGUAAUCAUACUUCCAAACAGGUUAUGUAUAGGUUUACAAUAUCGAUUGUUUUUUGAAAUGAUCUUUAUUUGAAAAUAUAUUAAAAUAAUAAUUAUUAAUUUUUUUAAAAUUUAUUUUUGAUAUUAGUAUAUUAAAUCAAUUUAAAAAUUUGGCGAUUAUUGAAGCAAGUGUGACACAUUCAACCCAAUUUCUGAUUUCAUGCUUUCUGCAAAGCUUCAUGAAAAUUAUGUAUAUUUCAUGCCUAUAUAUUUUUACAUUUAAAAAAUACUUUUGAAAAAAUUUAAAAACUUUUUAUUUUUUUUCUUUGCUUUAAAUUAAUAAAUUUUUGAUAUUUUUACAUUAUUUUGAUACGCUGAUAUCAAAAAUAAUUUAAAAAAAAAUAUUAUUUUGAUAUAUUUCUAAGUGAAAAGUAUUUUAAAAAGUAACCGUAACCAUACUCCCAAACAGGGUAUAGAUUUACAAUAUCGAUUGUUUUUUGAAAUGAUUUUUAUUUGAAAAUAUAUUAAAAUAAUUAUUUUUAAAUUUAAAAAAAUUUAUUUUUGAUAUUAGUAUAUUAAACCAAUUCAAAAACAAAAAAAAAAUUAUUUAAUUAAAAAUUUUAACUUUUUUUUCAAAAACACGAUGUCAUCGAAAAAAUAAACACAAAUAUAGGCUAUGCCUAUUUUCCUAAGUAGUGCUAAUUUCUUUCUUGUUUAUAAAUAUUUUUUAUUUAAAAAUAUAUCAAAAUAAUUUUUUAAAUUUUUUUAAUAUUAGCAUAAUUUUUUUUUUUUUACGUGGUGGUGUUGAUCUUAGUAGUUGGUGGAUGCUGCUUUGGUGUGUUUAUAAAGGAAAAGAUUUUUCAUAAUGGAGGAGAUGCAUAGAAUAGAAAAGAGAAGAAUAUUACAACUUGAGCUCAAAUAGCUAGGUGAUUAAUUUAAGCUUGUUUGUUUUUAUGUUUUAAAAAGGUAUUUUUAAAGAAAUUUUUAUUUUUAUUUUAUUUUAUUUUUUUUACUUUAAAUUAAUAUUUUUUUGAUAUUUUUAAAUCAUUUUAAUGCAUUAAUAUAAAAAAUAAUGUUUAAAAAAUAUAAAAAAUAUAUUAUUUUAAUACAUUUUCAAACAAAAAAAUAUUUUAAAAAAUAACCACAACCACACUUUCAAACAACCCCAUCAUUAUUAUAAUCCAAAAAACUUAACAAUUAUUCUUAAAGUAAAGUCAAAUAAUGAAAUUGAAGAAAAAAUCAUUUUCUUUAAAAAAAAACCUAAAAAAUGAAAGUCAAAUCAAACUAAUCUUUAAACUCUGUAACCUGAGUCAUAAGAUUAAGAUUAUCCUAUAAAAGACACACCAAAAAAAUCAUGAAGUAAAAUUCUUAAUUAUCCAAAAUUAAAAAAAAUAAAAUAAUUAGCAAUCAAAACAAUAAUGAUCAAAUAUGAUAUAAAAACUAUAUGAAAGAAAGUAAUGAGGGAAUAAAUUGAAAAUAAAAUUAAUCAGGAAAAUAAUAAAAACAAAAAAAAUAGCAAUCAAAAUAAUAAGGACUAAAUUAGAUACAAAAAUUAAAUCAAAGAAAAUGUCGAGGGACAAUUUAAAAUAAAAUUUACUUCAAAAAUUUAAAAGCAAAACAAAUAGCAAUAAAAAAAAUAAUGAUUAAAAUUGAUACAAAUACAAAUUCACAUGACACAUUUAACUUUUGGAAGGGCUAGCGUGAAAUCUGAGGUUAUGAGAGAGAAAAAAGGGAAGAAAAAAAUAUAUCUAUUGGCGCCUAACUACUACGUUGCCAUGUACAUAUAAUGACUACCAGGACGAGAACAAUACAACACUUUCAAUAUUAUUAUGGAAGAUGGUGUUUGACAGCUGGAAGGCACCGCAUUCAGCUCCCAAAAAAAUGAGUGCCUCUCAUUUAUUUGUUCAUGCAUGAUAUGCGUCAACAAUUUUUGUUUUUUUAAUUAUAUUUAUAUUUAUCAAAAAAUUGAAUUACCCCUCAAUCAAAUUGAUUAUAACUAAAAAACAAUUAAGAAAUACAAAAAAGUCACUCGACGUCAGUUUUAAAUUUUUACUUUAAAGGGAAAUGUAGUUAUUUCAUUGUGCAAUCAAAGCAUUAAAAGAUCAAAAAUCCCUUGGAUCCUAGUUUUAAUUUAUUUUUAUUUUUUUUCUUUUAAGAGUAUUUAAGUUAUUUAAUUUUGCAUAUAAAAUGUUAAAAGACCAAUUUGUCUCCAAUCAAUAUGAUAGUGACAAAUAAACCCUAUAAAAAAGAGUGGUUUGCCAUCAAUAACUACUUAAGUGAUUUUUGUUUGAGAAUGGGAAAAAAAAAUCAUUUUACUGUUUCAAUUUAUAUUAAGAAAAUACAAAACGGUAAUAGGUUCUGCAAUCAAAAUUCAAAGGGCUUGUGUUUGAAGGCCGAAGGGUUGCAAUGAUGGUGAUAGUUGCAGGGGUGGUGUAACUAGUUGUUGUUGUUAGGUGGUUGCGGCAGUGAUGGUGGUGGUUGCGGCAUUGAUGAUGAUAGGGAUGGUGGUGACGAAGGAAGAUUGGCUAAAGAAAAGAAAAAUGGUAAUGGGGUUCUGCAAUCAAAGGGCUUGUGUGUGAAGGCCUAAAGUUUUGUUUUAUCUCUA